CGAUGAUCCCCCGCUUGCGGGGGUGAUUAGUGGCGAACGGGUGAGUAAUACGUGAGUAACCUGCCCCUGACUCUGGGAUAAGCCUGGGAAACCGGGUCUAAUACUGGAUACGACUCCUCAUCGCAUGGUGGGGGGUGGAAAGGGUUCACUGGUUUUGGAUGGGCUCACGGCCUAUCAGCUUGUUGGUGGGGUAAUGGCUCACCAAGGCGACGACGGGUAGCCGGCCUGAGAGGGUGACCGGCCACACUGGGACUGAGACACGGCCCAGACUCCUACGGGAGGCAGCAGUGGGGAAUAUUGCACAAUGGGCGGAAGCCUGAUGCAGCGACGCCGCGUGAGGGAUGACGGCCUUCGGGUUGUAAACCUCUUUCAGUAGGGAAGAAGCGCAAGUGACGGUACCUGCAGAAGAAGCGCCGGCUAACUACGUGCCAGCAGCCGCGGUAAUACGUAGGGCGCAAGCGUUGUCCGGAAUUAUUGGGCGUAAAGAGCUCGUAGGCGGUCUGUCGCGUCUGCUGUGAAAGCCCGGGGCUCAACCCCGGGUCUGCAGUGGGUACGGGCAGACUAGAGUGCAGUAGGGGAGACUGGAAUUCCUGGUGUAGCGGUGAAAUGCGCAGAUAUCAGGAGGAACACCGAUGGCGAAGGCAGGUCUCUGGGCUGUUACUGACGCUGAGGAGCGAAAGCAUGGGGAGCGAACAGGAUUAGAUACCCUGGUAGUCCAUGCCGUAAACGUUGGGCACUAGGUGUGGGGGACA
This 752-nucleotide ribosomal RNA is filed under the name Kocuria sp. RNAcentral's name for it is "bacterial SSU rRNA". It matches the Rfam family "Bacterial small subunit ribosomal RNA", at positions 67 to 831 of the family's 1533-position model. The record is from RNAcentral. Lineage: Bacteria; Bacillati; Actinomycetota; Actinomycetes; Micrococcales; Micrococcaceae.